AGAGUUUGAUCCUGGCUCAGAUUGAACGCUGGCGGCAUGCUUAACACAUGCAAGUUGAACGGUAACGGCAAAAACAAUCCUUCGGGUGCGUUUUUGGACGACGAGUAGCGGACGGGUGAGUAAUACAUAGGAAUCUGCCCAGUAGCGGGGGAUAGCCCGGGGAAACUCGGAUUAAUACCGCAUACGCCCUACGGGGGAAAGCGGAGGAUCUUCGGACUUCGCACUAUUGGAUGAGCCUAUGUCGGAUUAGCUUGUAGGUAGGGUAACGGCCUACCUAGGCUACGAUCUGUAGCUGGUCUGAGAGGACGAUCAGCCACACUGGGACUGAGACACGGCCCAGACUCCUACGGGAGGCAGCAGUGGGGAAUAUUGGACAAUGGGGGCAACCCUGAUCCAGCAAUGCCGCGUGUGUGAAGAAGGCCUGCGGGUUGUAAAGCACUUUCAAUCGUGAAGAAAAGCACACGGAUAAUACCCGUGUGUCUUGACGUUAACGAUACAAGAAGCACCGGCUAACUCCGUGCCAGCAGCCGCGGUAAUACGGAGGGUGCGAGCGUUAAUCGGAAUUACUGCGCGUAAAGAGCACGUAGGCGGUUUGGUCAGUCGGAUGUGAAGCCCGGGCUUAACCUGGGAAUUGCAUUCGAUACUGCCAAGCUAGAGUUUAGUAGAGGAUGCGAUUCCGGUGUAGCGGUGAAUGCGUAGAAUCCGGAGGACAUCAUGGCGAAGCAGCAUCUGGGCAGACUGACGCUGAGGUGCGAAAGCUUGGGGAGCAACGAUAGAUACCUGGUAGUCCACGCAGUAACGAUGUCACUAGCUGUUUGUUUUCCAAGUGGCGGCAGCUAACGCGGUAAGUUGACCGCCUGGGGAGUACGCCGGCAACGGUAAAACUCAAAGGAAUUGACGGGGGCCCGCACAAGCGGUGGAGCAUGUGGUUUAAUUCGAUGCAACGCGAAGAAUCCUUACCAGGCCUUGACAUCCUGAGAACUUUCUAGAGAUAGAUC
Molecule: ribosomal RNA, 998 nt
Filed under: uncultured Gammaproteobacteria bacterium
Lineage: Bacteria; Pseudomonadati; Pseudomonadota; Gammaproteobacteria
Description: bacterial SSU rRNA
Rfam family: Bacterial small subunit ribosomal RNA
Source: RNAcentral